Thunnus maccoyii (southern bluefin tuna) is the source of this 7991-nucleotide long non-coding RNA. RefSeq lists it as uncharacterized. The transcript has 2 exons. Lineage: Eukaryota; Metazoa; Chordata; Actinopteri; Scombriformes; Scombridae. The record is from RefSeq and is a predicted model, not a curated record.
AUUUUUCUUUUCUGCUGUUACCACUGUACAUCCUCAAUACAUAUUUUGUCUUAUCACGCAAAUCCUGUCAUUUCAUCUGUUGGAUUAUAUUCUGUCUUGCCUUCUUUUGUAUCACCUGUUUUGUCUCAUCUCACAAAAAAAGGCAUACAAGAAGCAGAUCAGCAUUUACAGGAAGUGUUGAGGGCAGCGAGUCUGUAUGAGCUGAUAUCAGUAUCAGCAGCAGAGUCAAGUCUAGUAUAUGGGUUGUAAUAAAAUCUUCAUUAAAUGAGGAGCAUUAAUUAAUUCCCACUGGGGGCAGUGACACGCAUCACUGGCCAUUGUCUCCUACCCCCCUGUAAAAAACACUUCACGAGGGGGUGGAGGAAACCACUGCCACACACACUUUAACAGUGGCAUGACGCAGUACCUUUUCCACCAGAUAUUGUAGAUAGGAGAGAACCUCUACCACUGCACAUGUCAGGGGGUCCAGUCUCCUUUCCUCACACCAGCAUUGGAAUCCCAACCACUUUGCUUUGUAGCAAGCAAUGGUGGAUUCUGCUCUCGCUGCUUGGAUGGUCUGCACCUCCUGUGCAGACAGUCCAGCCCGCAUCAGCCUGUCCCUCUCAGGAGCCAAGCCUGAAGAGGUUGGCCAAACAUGGGCGGUGCGCCUAUCAUGCCUGCCUCUUGGGACAGAGUGCCCCACACUUGGGAAUGGACCAGGACUGGGCUGCCAACAUCUGGGUCAUCUCCGCAUACCACAGCGCCGAGCGGUGGUCCGGUGCUAUCAGGAUGACCAACAGUGUCACUCGUUUCACUCUCUUCAGCAAAGGGGGAAUGAGAUGAAGAGGAGGAAAGGCGUAAAGCAGCUUCCUUGGCCACGGUGUUCCACCCCCAAGGGAGCCCAACAUGCUCCACCACCAUGGCCAUAACCUUCAGGAAAUCAUGGCGAACUGAAGUCAGAUGAGAGGUUGUCAUCAUUGUCCUUCAGAGAAGCAGCUCAGAGAAUCUCAGCUGAGGCUUCCAGUGGCAGUGGGUACGUGUGUGUUCUGUAUGUUCACAAAGUCUUUCACGCUGCAGGCCGCUGCGGCCCCCACCUCGGCAGCCUAAACGCACAACCUGUCUUCUUCUGAGGCUGGUGUUACCUUAGGCUGGUGCUGCGUGCACAUUGAAAUCAUGACGGGAAAAAGAAAGUCUCUCAAUGAAAAACGUAGUCUUCUUGAAGCUUACGACAAACUGCCAAAAACAAGCUGAUGAGAUGCAGCAGCGAAACGACAAGUGUUUGAAAUAGCUGUACUGUAUUUUGAAACAAUCGAUAAAAUUUAGUAAAUAGCAUAGCUGCACGUUGCAUUACUUUAUAUUCAUGUAAUAAAUAUUAUAAUAAUCACCAGACAUGAUCACUAUAAGCGGUUUCCAUUGUAUAUGGAGAAAAAAAAUCCUAAUAUUAAACUUUAUAUAUGGAAUAAUAAAGCACACAUUUCUAUGUCAUGCAUAGAUUAUUGGUUAGUUUCUCAUUGUUUAGAUAGGAAUAACAUUAUCGCUAAUAUAAUAACAACUCCACUAGACAAUAGAGCUGUGUCACUCCAAGUCUCUUUUAGGUCUGACAGUAUUUAUAUAUUUAGAGGCUCUUAUUGGAAACUUAAUAACACUAUUUUAAAACAUGAUUAAGUGAUUAAGAAUGUCCAAACAUUGAUAAAAUGUUUCUGGAACUUCCAAUUGAGUCCUAAUAAGUGUUUUGCUUGCAGUAUGCAAAAAUCAACAAAUUAGAAUUCUGCUUUUGUCCAAGGAAGAUCAGGAGGAUACAGCCCUAAAAUAAUAGCCUUAGGUUCCAUGGGCACCUUUACAGACAAAAUUUUAUCAAUCAUACAAAUCAUCUCACCUCAAAAAGUUCUUAUCUUGUUGCAUUCCCAUUUGCAGUGGAUAAGCGUUCCUUGUAGAAGGGUACAUUUAAACAAAGGUCUGGAAUAUUAUCACUGAGUUUGUGUAUUUUGACUGGUGUCAAGUAAGUGCACAUUAACCAGUUGUACUGAAGAAGUUUCAGGCUAAUGUUGGCUGUUUAUGCUUGGGCUUCUGUACGGGCCUCACCCCAUUCCUCAGUUGAUAUUUCUACAUUUAGAUCCCCCUUCCAAGCCUCAAGUUUUGAUUCUGAGGUUAUAGUGGAGCCCAGUGCAAGCCAAUUAUACAUCAAUGGAAUGAAACCCCUGCCAUUACAGUUCCUAGUCAUUAACUUCUCCAGAGGUGAAAGUUCUGGUUUCAGUAAUGAGUGCUGCUUUGAGGAAAUUAAACUUCUUAUCUGUAAAUACUUUAAAAAGUGUUUCCUUAGGAUGCUGUGUUUAGCUGAUAGUUCCUCAAACAUCAUUAGGACACCCCCUGUGUAAAGAUCCUGAAUUUUCCCUAGUCCAUUUUUAGCCCACAGUUGGAAGCCUGCAUCAUCAUCAUUACCUGGUGCAAUCAAAACAUCUCCCAAGAUUGGGUCAAAACCAGAUAGAGAGCCUGAUAUACACAUAUUUUUUCACUUCAAACCACACCUUGGUCAUGAUACUUAACAUAGGGUUGAGGGUGUGUUUCCUUCAAUAUUUCAGCCCAGGUGAGUGCAGAUACAAGUGUAAAGGGAUGUUGAUAGAGCUUGAUUCCAUAUCCAUCUGCACUGGGGGAUGCAUUGAAAAGUAAAACAUUAUUGUUCUCAGCUGUGCUGCCAAGUAAUACCAAUGGAGGUUUUAGGCAUUUAAGUCCCCUCUAUCAAAUGGGAGAUAUAUAAGUGAGAGGUGAAUUCUAGGGUGCUUUGCAUUCCAUAUGAACUUAGUGAAAAGUUUUCUCAUCCUUGAAAAUAUGUGGGUAGGUUGCACCAGGGGAAUGUUCUGAAACAGGUAAAUACAUUUUGGUAAUAUGUUCAUUUUUAGUAUAAGGACAUUCAAUGGUCUAUAGACUGUGAUACAGACUCCAUGACAGGUUCAUAAUUAAUGGAUACAAUUUUCUCUAAUCGUCAGGCAAUGUUAAUGCCAAGAUAAGUGAAUUCUCUGAAAGUUUAAAUUUAAGGACAUGUACACUUGGAUUCUGUUCCUCUUUCAUAAUUGAGGAUUUUGAAGUGUUUGUUUUACAACCAGAAAUCUUCCCAAAGAAGCUAAUGAGUUCUAAUAGAGCAGGGAUAGAGGAGUCUAAUCUUUUUAAAAACCGGAUGACAUCAUCUGCAAAAGUGAGAUUCAGUUGUCAACAGUGAGAUUCUGUUGUCAUGGUUGUUAUGGUUCCCAUCUGUAUUCCAUGAAUAUAUCAAUGCAUUCUGACUGAUAUCGCAAGGGGUUCUAUCACCAGGAUAAAUAGAAGUGGUGAUAAAGGGGGGCCUUGAGGUCAACCCCUGCUUAUUUUAAAAGCCUUAGAUACCACAUCAUUAUGUAUGUUCAUGUAAUAGCUUAGUCCAAUUACAAAACUUCUCUCCAAACCAAAAAUGGGUGAUGACAUAUAUGGCCAUCGACUCUGUUGAAGGCCUUCUCCGAAGUUGAAAGGAGUGUCUGGUGCCUCUUGUUGGCUGUAUAAGAUAUUAAGUACCCUUCUGACAUUGUGGAAGCCUUGUUUUCCCUGUAAAAAAACAUUCUGGUCCUUCCCCACAACAGAAGGGAGUAUACCCUCCAAUCUUCUUGCUAUGACUUUGCACAGGAUCUUUGUAUUAGAAUUCAGUAAGUUAAUAGGGUGCCAAUUCCCACAUUUAGAUUUAGGUUUCCCUGGCUUUGGAAGCAAAAUUAUUAAGGCUUCUCUCAUUGAGGAUAGAAGGACCCCACUGCCGUAGGAUUCUUUAAACAUUUCAUACAGAGGAGUGACUAGUUAAUCUUUAAACACUUCGUAUAUGUCGUAGACCAUCUGGUCCAGCCGUUCUACCGGCGUUCAUGCCACUGACAGCCUCUGAAAUUUCUGAUACGGUUAUAUCUCCUUCUAAGGAGUCCCUUGUUCCCUCUGGAAUUUGAGGAAUAUCGAGUUUUCCUAAAAAGUCAGAUUGUAUGUCUAAAUUUUUAGUGUCUUCUGAGCAAUAAGGAUUUUUAUAGUACUGUCUAAAUUUUCCAUUAAUUUCCAUUGGGUCCACUAUGUUUUUUCCUUCAUUAUCCUCAAUGUGAGUUAUCACUCUCUUUUUGUUGCUGUUUAAUUCGCCAAGCAAGAAGUUUGCCAGGUUUCUCUCCUUGGUCAUAGUACAGUUGUUUGAGCCUCAGCAUGUUGGCAACGGCCUUAUUAGCAGAUAGCCUAUUAUACUCAGAAUGAAGUGACAGAAGUUCUCUAUUUGCGUCUGUCGUAUUCAGUCCUGGCUGAAAUAUUUGUCUCUGCAAUGUUUUAAUCUUUGAAUCUAACAAAAUCAUUCUUUCCUUGGUUUGUUUAGACUUUUUGCUUGUAAGACUGAGGAUCUGUCCUGUAAUAUAUGCUUUGAAUGUUUCCCAUCUAAUACAUACAGAAGUUUGAGUGGUGUUUAUUUCAUAAUAUAGGUCAAUUUGUUGGCCUAGAUAUUCUACAGACUUUGAAUGCUUGAGCCAGUAAGUUGGAAUCUCCAUUUAGGAGGAACUUGUACCAGCUUUCCUUCUAUGUAAACCAGGGACACAGCCCCAUAGUCUGAGAGAACUAUACCAUUAUAAUGACAUCCUCCAAUUUUUGAAAGAAGUUCAGCGGAGAUUAAAAAAUAACCAAUUCUCGAACAGGUUUGGUGUGUGCUGGAAAAACAAGAGUAAUCUCUGGCAUUUGGGUUUAGAUGCCACCAAAUGUCUAUUAGGUUCAUUUCUUGGAUGCAGCACUGUAUUGUUUUCCUAGUUUGCACAUGAGUAACAUCCAGACCAGAAGAUCUGUCUUUUACAGGGUCAAGGGUUCAGUUGAAGUCACCAGCCAUAAUGUAUUUGCCAGACUUAUCGCCUCAUGCAGAAGAAAAUCAGGAAUAAUCAUGAAUCAUGAAUAAUGUCCCAGCUGGGUCCUCAACCACAUCCUGUAUCUGCAUUGGAACAGAUUUAUGAAUCAAAACAAUUACCCCUUUAGCAUUUGAUGUAUGACAUGCUGAAAACACCUGCCCAAACAACCUCCUCCUUCCCUUUGAUGCAUCCCCAGGUAGCAAAUGAAUCUCCUGUAAAAAAGCAACUUAGGCUCCCAAAAUCUUUAUCCUGCUCAUGACCUGUUUUACCUUUGCUAAUUUGUUUAAAAUGCUGCAAUUCCAAGAAGUGCAAUUCACCUUAACUGUUGACGUUUAUGGGAUUUUCAUUUGCUGCUGUGAAAUAACCCUUUAAAACAAACAAGUGUAUUUUUUUGGCAGAGGCACAUAUACACCAGUAAUUACAUAAAUAUUCAAACUGUGAAGAGGAAAUAACUUGGAACUUACACACCCCUCCCUGAACCUGUCCAGCGUGAAUGUGCUUGGACUACCCCUAACCUGUACAGUACCCAUAACUCCCUUCAGCAAUCAGCGGGUCCACACCGUAGCGAGGAUCCAUCUGCAGGUCCCUUUCAGUUUCCUUAACUGCUGCUAACAUUGCUCCUAUAUAGAUGCCAAUCCUAUAUAGAUGCCAACUUCAGCUGACAAGUCUUGGUGAAAUCUGAUAGCACUGUCCUUGUACGUUACCUGCCUUUCAAUCUUCGCUGCCCUCAGGAUCCUUUCUUUAUCUCUGUAGUCGGGAACCUCACGAUAAAGGUCUGCAGCGAGUUAGAGUUGUGUUUUUGGCCUCACAACUCCAGAUUAGUUUGGUACAACUUGUUGAAGGAUUUUGGUGGUGGUUAAAUACAAAUGAUCAGAUAAUUACUAAUGGAGCAAGAGAGUGCGUCUGUUCACCCACACCACCAUCUGGAAGUCGUGAACCAUGGUUUGUUAUUGUUGUAUGUGCAGUGGGUCUUGGUUGGCACACACGUCUUCACAAAAGCUGACUUAAGAUGUCACAAUAUCAGUCAGUUUGUCUAGGUUGCCAGAUGAAUCUUCAAAACACUCGCACUCACACAAUGGACAGGCUUUGCAGAUUUUAGUGUCUGCCUGAAGGUUCGAAUAAGAUGAACCAAGCAGUAAUCAGAGUGCCCCAAAACUGCCUGGGGAAGAGAGCGAUAUGCAUCUUUAAGAAUUGUAUAGCAGUGGUCCAGUGUUAUUAUUCCCUGUGGGACAAUUAAUGUGCUGUCUAUACUUUGGUAGUUCGUGGUUUAAUUUUGCUCUGUUAAUGUCCCCAAGGACUAUGAAAAGAGAGUCUGUCUAUAUGUUUUUGUUCCUAGCUGGUUAUCUGGUCAGCCAGGGUUUGCAGCGCGUUGGCCUGGAGUGGCAUGUAAACAUCGACCAAGAUGAAGGAGGAAAACUCCUGUGCUGAAUAAAAUGGCUUGCAGUUUAUGAACAAUGUCUCCAAGUUUGGGCUGCAGUAUUUACUUAGCACUGUGAUAUCUGUACACAAACCUUUGUUGAUGUAGAAGCAAAUUCCACUGCCUUUUGUUUUCCCUGAUGGCUCCGUUACAAGAUCUGCUCAGUGUAGAUGGAAGCCCAGCAGAUGUAACCCAUUGUCGGGGAUGGAUUCACUGAGCCAGGUCAACAAAGGGCAGCAGAACGUACAAAGUCCCUGUUUGCCCCGUUGAUGUGAAGCAGCUUUUUGAACAUGAAAUGUCUUAGUUGUAUAUAUGUAUAUAUAUAUAUAUAUAUAUAUAUUUUUUUUUUUUUUCUUUUAAGAUGUUCAAAAUAAUAUUGAAAUCGCAUUUGAAUUGAUAAAUACAGCACACGUGUUUGGGGCAGAAUGUGUCACAUCUGCACCUGAAGAACAGGUGCAAUGUCCUUAGUAUUUCUGGCCCUCAGUUUGUUGAACAGUGUGAUACCAUUGAAAGCUCUGGUGCAACAGUUAAAUGGACACUGAUUUUAAUUCGGUAGGUCAGACUUUUCAAAAAUUGGAAAUCAGAAUUGGCCAAGAAAAUUGCAAUCGGUGCAUCAUUAAUAUUAACAUGAAAUCACAGCUGUGUCAUUUUUGUUUAACCUUUUUUAUUUGUAUGUCAGUUUUUUGACUGUGCCAGAGUGGAGCAAUGAUUGAUGAUGAUGAUGAUUCGGACUCGGACUCACACUCAGGUAAUGGGGACUUGACUUUGACUCGACUUGGACUCUUCUUUGGUGACUCGGACUUGGACUCGGACUCGAACACUGGGGACUCAAGACUCGACUUGGACUUGAGACUUAGUGACUUGACUACAACACUGGUGGAGGCAUAUUAGUCCUGGAAUGUGUGCUCCAAACCUCAUAGAAGAUAUAAAAUUUUAGCACCAUUUCACUGAAUAAAAUAGUGGUCAAACUAGUUGUCUAAUGCACACCUGGUGGACAGGUGCAUAGGAAAACGUAAUCAACAAAAUGAAAUUGAGUGCAUACCUCUUUUGUCUGUUAUAGUAUAUCAGUUUGGCUGCUGCAAUAUGUUGCCAAAGUGUCCAAUUAAGUGUUCAAGUACCAACCUGAAUAUGUCCAUGUUUUUAACUUAAUGAGUCUUAACCUAUCAUUUAAAAUCUUGAAUUAAGAAUUCAUGACAAAACUUAUAUACAGCAUAAAUCUUUAUUAUUUUUACUACAUUCAUAAUACAUUGUUAUCUAGCAUACAUUGGCUAAAACAAACAGACAAUCAUUCACACCUGCAGGCAAUUAAGAGCAGAAGUGUAGGCAGAAAUCACAGUGUGGGUGGGCACAGAGAAAAUCAGGUGCGUCCAAGACCAAUAGGUUCACAAAUAUAUAUGAUAACCAAAAUAGGUCAUUACAACUAUACUUGCCUGAAUGCAUGACAGUUUAAUCAUACAAGUCGUAUACAUUAUCAGUGGUGUUACAGGCACCGAGUUGAACAUUAACAGCAUCACAUAGCCUGGCAUGACGGCCACAUAUUCACAAACACACAACUGACAGAUGCAACAGCAUCAUUAAUCAAGCAUAUGGAUAGAGGUACACUGGCACCAACAUGCUCAGUAAUGUUAAAAAGGACACUUGAACAUAGCCUGGUGCGGCAGUCACAUAAACCACCAUAAGUCCUGUUGUGUGAACAAAAUAAAGUGUUGUUUUUGGAAAUUAAA